RNAcentral lists this long non-coding RNA (3334 nucleotides) under Marmota monax (woodchuck). Lineage: Eukaryota; Metazoa; Chordata; Mammalia; Rodentia; Sciuridae. The record is from RNAcentral.
GGCUCGUGUGAGCACCUCAGUUAAAGGUCUGCUUUCUAAAAUGCAAAUUUGUGUGUCCCUGAGUAUUUCAGGUGCUUGGGGACCGUGUUUCAUUCUUGUUUAUACCCCUGGUCCCUGGUGGAUGGACGAACUCGUGUCUCCAUGUCCCUGUCCUGUGGGCAGCACCACUCUGGGCCAGCCACUGGGAAGGUAGGGUAGGACAGAGGAACCAACGUGACCUCCUGAGGGCAGGGACCUUGGGGACCUCGAUCUUGAGGGUCCCCAAGCCUAGAUCCCAAGGAGUGAGUUUGAUAGCAGCCUGGAGCCACAGGAGGGCCAGGCUGGAGAGAGGGACAUUGACCCCCACCUGCUGUGGCCCUAGAAGCAGCGGGCUAGGAGAAGGCCUGCAUGCCCAGUCCUGUCCCGUUCCAAGGGGCUCUUUUAUUAAUGAACUUUAUUUCAUGGAUGAGUCCUAGGUGCACGGCAGAGUGGAGGGGAGGGUAUGGAGACUUCCCAGACGCCACCCCGUUCACGAGUAGCCUCCCGACUGUCAGCAUCUUCCCUGCAAGUUCCACUGCUACCGCUAGUGAGCCCGUGGCAAUGCUGAGGUGGCCCAGAGCAUGGUCCACGUGAGGCCACCUUGGCUGCUGCACGUGCGUGGGUCUGGACCGCAGGGCACGUAGGGUCUCCCCGCCCACGGGCCACCCCUCUGCCUGCCACACUGCCCACGCUGUCUCUGCAGCUCUCCUCUUCCAGAGCCUAACAGCGGCCAGCGGCCUCCUCAGACCGGCUUCUUUCCCUCCAUGGCAUGCAUCGGGCGCCCCGUCUCUUCAGGCUCCACAGCGCAUUUCCUUUCGUGCUGACGGGUGGUCCCUCGUCUGGGGGGGCUGCCGCUUACCCAGCUCCUGGGGCAUCUGGUGGCUCCAGGUUGGGGCUCGAGGGUGAGGCCGCCACAGCCACCCUGCCUGGGUCACCUCCGGGGCCCACGGGGAGAGUGAGGGUCUAGGGAGGGGCCACCCUGGGCUGUGUCCCCAGCAGUGAGGGUGUGGAGACAUCCCUGCUGUCCUGACUUGCACCCUGGUGACACGCUUCCUUGUCAUCUGUGCAUUUCCUUCAGGGUAGUGUCUGUUGGGGCCUUGACCCCUUUUUACGGUGGGCUGUCUGUUGAGUCCUGUGAGUCCCGUGGACAGUCUCCACAGCAGCCCGUAUCCGACGUGUCCUUCGGUACGUGUUCUCCUGGCCUGUGGCCUUCUUUGCCUUGUCCCGAAGGCGUCCUUCACAGAGCGAGAUCUUGACUUUCAGUGACAUUCAGCUCAUCAAUUCCUUCCUUCACGGAUCCUGCCCUUGGUGCUUUAUCCAGACGCCAUCACCCACCCCGGUCAGCCAAGGUCACCUACUCUCCUCCUGCUGCCUUCUGAGAGUCUGGCAGUUCUCGCUUUCCAGUUAGCCCACGAUCCACGGUGGCUUGGGCUCCGUGCCGGGCGUGAGGCCUGCGCCCACGUUCCGUCUUCGCACCUGGACCCGUUCACCCCACCCUUUAUUCACACUGGACUGGAAGUCAGGCUGGCUGCAGACAAUCACUCAGGGGUGGAGCGGGGGUGGCUGCUCAGGGGCCGGAGGACAGGGCUGCCAGGGACAGAGCUCCUGGGGAGGUGAGGGCUGGGAGCACACCUGGGGUAGGCCGCCUGCGUCCACUGCAUGAGGCCAGGGACACCUUCUCAGCACAACUGUGAUCCGGGUGAACUUAAUUACUUGCUCUCAAACAUGGGCUUCUCUUCCUUCUCACCCUGGUGUGAGCCUCAUCCUGAGUGGGUGGGACCGUUGCUCUAGGGAAGUGAUGUGGGGGUUCCCAUUUCAGCUUGGCCUAGGAACAGCUCCGGUCGCCCAUAGGUGCUUUCCAGUGGAGCGUCUGGGUCCCACCACUCCCCUGAGCACCCACUAGCUGCCCAGAGUCCCAGCCACGAAGCCGUGAUGCCGCCCUGCAGCGUCCAUCAGGGCUGACAGCUGGAUCCCCAGCUGCCACGUUCACCCCACGAGGACUUCAGGAUGCCAGUCUGCGGUUUCCCAUGUGCCAUUUGGAGCACCAGGGCCCUGUCCAGGGACAGGGUGCUCCCAACAGCCUGAGAAGCUGGAGGCUGCCGUGAGCCUUCCUCCAUGAAGAAGUCUCUGUGUCUGUUCAACAGGUGGCGUCGGAGGACCGCGACUCCUCCCUGGCUGCAGGGAGGGGGCUGUGAUUGGCCGAGGCCUUCAGUGUCCAGCGUCUCCUUCAGGCCAUGCAGGUGGCCCUGGGCCAUCCUCACCUCCUGCUGGCACAGUGGUGUGGUGACUCUGAGGGUGGGUCCGGGCUCACUCCCCUGCCCGCAGCCCGGCAUUCUGCACAGGUCGGAGCAGGGACGGGGACGUGACUGACAGCUACAACCAAGUUCCGUUCCUUGGUAGUGGAAUACAGCAGUUCCUAAUUUUUAAAAAGAGCAUCCAGAAUGACUUGUUUGUUCCAGGCCUCUGUAAACAAACACAUGGAGCCUGCGUGGGUCCCUGUGGAAUGAUCCCUCUAAGUGGCUCGGGCUCAGCGACGUCCUGCAGAGGUGAUUGCUCCAGGACUGUUCCCCAUGCAGUGAAUUAUAUAGUGGUUGGGUUUAUACAGGGCUGGGUUAUUCUAAAUUGCAGGAUAAGUUCUAAAGUACGAGAAGCAUGCACUCUAUCAAAGGUGUCGUGUGGCCUCGGGUAGCAGGAGCGCCGGGCGAGCAGAGGCCGGGAAGGGAGAGAAGCCAGUCCCGUGUUGCUGCAGCUGGUUCUGUCACUCAGUCAGCCUCAUCGUGAGGUUGGAGAUGGCUUUGGUAACCCCCUCCCAGGGGCGUAGAGGUGCACUCUGCCCCGUCCAGGUGCGUCUUCAGCCACGUGACGGUGUCGACCGCUCCUGCAGGUGCACACGGACCCCGGCUAACCCCCAGCACCCACGGCCUGGUCUAACCACACUGUGGCAAAGCAGCGUUGACCUGAGUCUAAACUGAAAUCUUCCCUCCCCGCCCCUCGAGAGGUGAUGCUGAGUGCUGAUGGCCGUGGCCCAGGUCGAGUUGACCUGGACGGGGCUGAUUUGGGCGCCCAGUGGGCCUUCAUAAGAAACCCCUGCUCCUGAAUGCUGCGCACACAUUCAGGAAGCCAUCUUCUCCCCAACCCCAGCAAGUGGCCAAGGUCAUGAGCCAGGGUUCACAGGUUAAAAUACCGAGGCCGAGCAGUUACACCCCAACCGGGGUCUGAGCCCCCUGUGGCUGGUCCACAGCCCACCUCCCCAGCCGCUGGAAUACCAGUGGCGUCCUCUCGGGACGCAGGUCAGUAGCCGUGGGCCAGGGAUCUG